CCCCUCUCAGGAUCGCACCUAGAGAGUUCCCAAUACUCUACCAGUCUCGGCUAUGGGAGGAAGAGUCAAGCAGAGGCAUACCCAUUCUAUUCCUAGCUUGGGCAAUGGUUAGCGAAUGGAAGGCAAUUUGCUGCAAGA
Molecule: non-coding RNA, 138 nt
Organism: Ornithorhynchus anatinus (platypus)
Lineage: Eukaryota; Metazoa; Chordata; Mammalia; Monotremata; Ornithorhynchidae
Source: Rfam